CGUUUGGGAAAUAAAGUUUAUAGAAGGCCCGAGUUAACGGGACUUAAAAUGAAACGGGUUAUAACUACCCCAAACCCACUAAGUUAAUUUGGAACAUUUAAAGUUAGUUAUGAGAAUUGGUUAAUUACUAGUAAGUAAUAUAUAAGGGUUUAACAAAAGCUAAAACUAGAGGGACCUAAGAUGUUAAAAGGGAAACUUGAGAUUUAAAGUUGGAAAUUUGACAUAACACACACACUAGGUGUGUGUAUGUCGAUCGACCAGGAGAAGAGAACAAGGGGUGCAAACCCUAGUUCAUCAAAAUCUUCAAAUUGAAGGAUCCAAUCAAGUCCAAACCGAAAAUCGAGCAUAGAUUAAUGAUCCCCAUUGCAAGGAGAUCAUAAGUUGGCGCUUAACAAGCUAGGUGAAGCUUGGGGAGAAAGCGGGUCAAACAAAUCAAGAAGGAAAGGAAAAGUGUAGCUUGGAUACGAGGUAAGUGAAACUUACACCCUUGUGUAUGACACUUGUUUAUUUUAUAAACUAUAAAUGCGAAAGAUGUAAUACCCCAAAAUAAGGGUUCCGACACGACCGAUACAAGUCGGAACGAGUAUAAAUGAUAAAAACCAUAAUUUAUGGUAAACGGGGCAAAUGGGUGGAUUUGGAAAUCUAAAACCAUGCCUUUAUUCUAAUUUAUGUAAAUGUUUGGUCUUAUAGUCCAAACGGGUCAAAUGGUGAUGAAACACCAUUUGACAAUAUCGACUAAUAUGAUUGUCAAGUCGUAUGUUAUCAGGAGUGAUUAGCAAUUUGGAGAAUUGCGACGCCAUAGAAUGUUGGUUAAUUAACGCGAGACAUAAAACGGGUCUAUAUGUUGAUUCGAGCCAGGUACUUUGUGGAUGCCGGAAGAAGAUCAAGCUCAACGAAGAACCGAACACGAAAUAGAUACACGUUUCCGCACAUUGCCACGUUGUAAAUUUUAAACAACGAACUCGAUUACAUUAUGUUGACUAACUUAUGAUUUGUUAAAAGUUUUAAUAAACCCGCAUUUAUAUGAUGUGUGUGGUCUUAACUACACAUCUAAUUGUGGUAUUUUCAUAUAAAAUCGUAAUCUAGUAACCAGGGUGUUACAAGUUGGUAUCAGAGCCCCGGUUUAAGGGAUUCAAGUAUGGUGGGGAAAACCAUGCUUGGACUUAAACCUUAUGCUCUUGAUAAAGAUUGGUGUUCGGUUCGAGGCUUGAUCGUAAAUCCGGUAAGUACAUGUAUAUUAAUGGUUUAGCGUGUUAAGGUGUUGUAAACAACACAUAGGGUUAUCGUGUUAUACACGUUACCCCAAUUAAAUGAUUGAUAUAGUUGACGAAAUUACGCGU
This is a long non-coding RNA of Helianthus annuus (common sunflower), 1340 nucleotides long. RefSeq lists it as uncharacterized. Lineage: Eukaryota; Viridiplantae; Streptophyta; Magnoliopsida; Asterales; Asteraceae. The transcript is spliced from 3 exons. The record is from RefSeq and is a predicted model, not a curated record.